RNAcentral lists this long non-coding RNA (1374 nucleotides) under Parus major (Great Tit). Its description in RNAcentral is "lncRNA (ENSPMJG00000002910.1)". Lineage: Eukaryota; Metazoa; Chordata; Aves; Passeriformes; Paridae. The record is from RNAcentral.
AUGGGUGCGAAAUUGUCAGCACAGCAGAGAGGAAUCUAUUUUCAAAUUUUGGGUACCCUGGAGGGUGGGAAAAGAAAGUUUUCAAAACGAUUGUUAAAAAAGCUUGUUCAGUGGCUUUCCUUCCACUUUCCUAGGGUAUCCCCAGAGGAAAUACCAACCAUCUUCUGGGAUGUAGUUGGAAGCAAAUUAACAGCUUUGACAAGUAAAGGUGAUGCAUCGGUUGCUAAAUUCUUUUCAUUGUUUGUGCUAAUCCGAUCAGUGAUAGUUGAGGAAAAGAAAGUGGAGGAAAAGCUCAAACUAACACCCUCACCUCCCCUGUCCCUUGAUCCAAAAUCUUUGUCCCUUGCAUCGGGAAGUCCGUGCCAGGCAAACCGUGAUGAAGCGCAGGAGAGCUACCGACUCCCUGGCCUCCCACAGACUUCUUGGUACCCUUGCCUUGAGAGUGAUGGACACGCUGUCAAGGACCCUUUCCUAAACCUCUCUUUCCCAGCUGUUAAUCCUCCAGGUCAAGUGAAUGCCCCUAAAGGAGAUUCCCAAGUUUUCCCUGAGUCCUCCCCUGCCCCUCAGAAUGAUCUCCAAGAGACACAAGAUGGUGGAAGCCACAUGGCUCAGGCCCCACCUUGUGCUUCUUUUUCCCAGAAUCCCUUUCACCCUGUUCCUGCCAACCCCUUCCUAUCCCCUGACUGCACCCCUACCCAUGUCCCUCCUUCUCCUCCCCUCUCCCCAAACUCCACCCCUUCCCCGGGUUACCCCCCUUCUUUUCCACCAGCUCCGCCUCCCAUUCCCAUGACAUUAUCUGUUCCCAUGAUGUCACCUGUGAACAGCAGCUCCCAUUCCAAUUGCUGUCCCACCCCUGUUUCCUCCUCUGCCUUCUCUGGCAGCUCUCAUCCUCUUCCAGUUUCAACUUCCCACGAUGGCAUGGGAACUGGAAGCCAUGAGACUAAAAAACAGAACCCGGAACAGGAGAUCAUCCCCUUCACUGCACCUGUUACCUAUACCCAAGCAAGAGGAACCCCUAGGUGGCAACCUUUUGAUUAUCAGCAUAAAAAGGAGCUUUGCAAGGCUCAGAAGGAGUUUGGGAGAAAAAGUGAAUAUUUUAAAGGUCUUUUAAAAGCCACCUUUUCCUCAAACACUCUAGUUCCUGAUGAUAUCAGGGAUUUUUUUGCAUGUCUCCUAACCCAAACAAAAUAUCUGUUGUGGGAGAGGACAUGGAAGAGAUUUAUUACGGAACUUCUUCCUGAGCUCUUGCAAAGCCCUGACUGUGCCAUUGAUGCAGAUAACAACAGUAUCUCAAUGAACCACUUGUGUCAUGAAAGGGAUUGGUCACAAGCUAGAACUCAGGCUGAAAAAAUACCACAGCCUGUGUUGGAAUAG